UACGAAGGGUGCUAGCGUUAUUCGGAAUUAUUGGGCGUAAAGGGUGUGUAGACGGCAUAUUAAGUCAACUGUUAAAUUCUCCGGCCUAACUGGGGGUCAGCGGUAGAAACUGAUGUGCUAGAGGAUGAAAGAGAGAAGUGGAAUUCUCGGAGUAGCGGUAAAAUGCGUAGAUCUCGAGAGGAACACCGAUGGCGAAGGCAGCUUCUUGGUUCAUUCCUGACGUUGAGACACGAAAGCGUGGGGAGCAAACAGG
RNAcentral lists this ribosomal RNA (253 nucleotides) under uncultured bacterium. Its description in RNAcentral is "partial 16S ribosomal RNA". It matches the Rfam family "Bacterial small subunit ribosomal RNA", at positions 524 to 776 of the family's 1533-position model. The record is from RNAcentral.